AUGCCGUCUCGGGGAGGGUAACAAAAUGUGAAAGCCAAAUAGAAGCCAGCUGGACAGCACUGAAGGCUUGGAAAAGUGGCAAUAAAGUUACCUAAGAAUAAAAUGGAUGUUUUUAUUCAAAUAAAUAGGAUGUAUUCCUAUGAAACGUGUGUAUUGAAAACUUGGGUUUUUACCCAUAUGUUUAAUGUUAUAAACAUGGUGGUUUACU
RNAcentral lists this long non-coding RNA (208 nucleotides) under Helianthus annuus (common sunflower). RNAcentral describes it as "sRNA HanXRQr2_Chr09g0414081". The record is from RNAcentral. Lineage: Eukaryota; Viridiplantae; Streptophyta; Magnoliopsida; Asterales; Asteraceae.